This 669-nucleotide ribosomal RNA is filed under the name Sufflavibacter maritimus. Its description in RNAcentral is "bacterial SSU rRNA". It matches the Rfam family "Bacterial small subunit ribosomal RNA", at positions 717 to 1388 of the family's 1533-position model. The record is from RNAcentral. Lineage: Bacteria; Pseudomonadati; Bacteroidota; Flavobacteriia; Flavobacteriales; Flavobacteriaceae.
GAAGGCAGAUCACUAAUACUAUAUUGACGCUGAUGGACGAAAGCGUAGGUAGCGAACAGGAUUAGAUACCUGGUAGUCUACGCCGUAAACGAUGGUUACUAGCUGUCCGGCCUAAUUGAGGGCUGGGUGGUUAAGCGAAAGUGAUAAGUAACCCACCUGGGGAGUACGUUCGCAAGAAUGAAACUCAAAGGAAUUGACGGGGGCCCGCACAAGCGGUGGAGCAUGUGGUUUAAUUCGAUGAUACGCGAGGAACCUUACCAGGGCUUAAAUGCAGUCUGACGUAUCUGGAAACAGAUAUUUCUUCGGACAGAUUGCAAGGUGCUGCAUGGUUGUCGUCAGCUCGUGCCGUGAGGUGUCAGGUUAAGUCCUAUAACGAGCGCAACCCCUGUGGUUAGUUGCCAGCACGUAAUGGUGGGAACUCUAGCCAGACUGCCGGUGCAAACCGUGAGGAAGGUGGGGAUGACGUCAAAUCAUCACGGCCCUUACGUCCUGGGCCACACACGUGCUACAAUGGUAGGGACAGAGAGCAGCCACUUCGCGAGAAGGAGCGAAUCUAUAAACCCUAUCACAGUUCGGAUCGUAGUCUGCAACUCGACUACGUGAAGCUGGAAUCGCUAGUAAUCGCAUAUCAGCCAUGAUGCGGUGAAUACGUUCCCGGGCCUUGUACAC